Molecule: long non-coding RNA, 2166 nt
Organism: Onychostoma macrolepis
Lineage: Eukaryota; Metazoa; Chordata; Actinopteri; Cypriniformes; Cyprinidae
Exons: 8
Source: RefSeq, a predicted model, not a curated record
UGGUAGGCCAACAAUGAAUUCAAACGCAGAUGCGCGGGAGCCCAUCCCAGUCAGCCGAAGACCAAAGCAAACCAAAGCAAUUCCCAAGAGAUGACAGAUUAUAUUCUCCGUAACGAGUUUCAAGAGGUUAUGAGUGACACUUGUCAGUAGUCUCCUCAUCUACAUGCCAAGAAUACAAAACAUAUCCAAAUCAUUCAGUGCAACAAGAUCUGGUCUUUAAAAGCAAAAUCAGAGUGACACAUGUCAAUCUUCCCCUCGUCUGUGGAACUGUACAGUAAACCAAGAAUACAAAACACAUCCAGAUCAUUCAGUGCAACAUUCAAGAUCUCGUCUGUAAAGGCAAAAUCAGAUUAGAUACUUCUCUUCAACGUCUAUCAAGGACAAAGACAAGUGACAGAAAGUGAUGAGUCGGGAUGUUUUUGCUCCAGGUGUCUGUCAUCAGAGAACUGAUUCAAAUGACUCCUGAUAAUGACGAUAAAACGACCUGGAAGUGACAUUAACCUUACAGGAACCUCAACCUGGGUCUCCAGCGCGCAGCAGCUCUGCUCUGGGAAGAAAGGGUUUGGAACAAAGUGAAGGGGUCAGAGGUCAGCUGUGCUGGUCGUGUACAUGUGCACCUGUGUGAGAGAGAGGUGAAGGUGGAGUUUAUUUUUAGAUCCGCUCAGGUAGAGUCAACAGGGAGGAAAACAGCUUUGCAUAUGGAUCUGCAUGCCUCUCUCAGUGGCUUCGUUACAGAAUACUCUGACACACAAGGAUCCAGCAGCUUUUCAAAGGAACAUUGGCCAGGUAUGGACACAGCAAGAAUAUUAUUAGCCCUUAAACAAGGCACACAAUCGUUGGUGAACUAUAUUCGAGAAUAUUUAGCCAUCGCUCACUAUUCAGAUUUACCGGACUGUGUUUUGAUAAGAGUUUUUCUGUGAUGGCAUUAAUCAGCCUCUAAGGUCUAAGCCUAGACGCGAGGGUCCGCGUUCAUCACUCAGUCAGUUUAUGGAUUAUGCUUUGUUGUCUGUUGGCUCUUUAUUCACUGUGGGUGUCACAGAGGAAGAUCGCGACAUCGCGUCCAUGCCAGUAAUGGAAAUUUAGUCAGCCACAAGCUCCGGGAGAUUCGAGUUUACUGAUCACUACUCCAGUGAUUGAACCCGCUUGUGAAAUGGCGGCCGCACCGGAGCGCGCUCACAUAAUGGCAGCGACAGCGGAGCCUGUUCACAAAAUGGCGGCCACAAGAACGCUCUGUCAUGUCACUGCUGCGAUCUCUGUGUCAAGUCACCGUUGAUCUUCCUGAGUAAAGUCACAUCAAAGCUGAUCAAAGUGUUCCCCGAGGCGAUGGCUCCCUCUGCAGCUUCUUCAGAGGUGGCGGCGUAUGUUGCAGAACCUCUUGAGGCAGCAGCGCUCGCUUCAGCUCCUUGCACGGUGGUGGCGCCCAGCAAUGCACCCUCAGCCUGCCAUGUCGCGGUCGAAAGAACCGUUGCUGAACUCUGUACCUGUCCUGUUAAGGAGAAUGUUAAUGAACUUUCCCUGUUUCCUGAUGUUACUGCUGUAGAACCUCCAGAGGUGGCGGCAUCCGCUGCAGAACUCUAGAGGAGUCAGUGGUAUCCACUUAUUAGCUCUCUGCCUGUCCUUUUACGGCUAUGGAGGCCGCUUAUGAACUUUUGUCCUGCACUGAACCGGCAGAGGUGGCCCUCUCUGAACUCUUGCCCUGUUCCAAACCCAUCAUGGAGGCCAAUUAUGAGCUAUUGUCCUGUCCCGACCCAGCUGAGGAGGCUGCCUCUGAACUCUCUAGUGAACAGUCGGUCUAUCCAGUUUCAAUCAAUGAGUUUCAUUUUGAGCUAUCUGUCUGUCCAGUUUCAACCUAUGAAUCUGAGUGUGAAUUAUCAGCCUGUCCAGUUGCAAUCAAUGCUCUUGAUUUUGAACUAUCUGUCUGUCCUGUUUCAACUAAUGAGUCUGACUGUGAAUUGUCUGCCGGUUUAGUUUACUCUUAUUGCUCCUCGUCUGGACUAUAGCCUGUCUGUUGGAUUACCUAUUUGCCUCGCCCCCUGCAUUACAUUUGCUGUCGAUUGACCAAUGCCUACUAUUUUUUGUCUUCAACAUACCAUCAUGCCAUUGUCUGACCCAUGCCUGUUUUUGACCACGUCUUUUAAUAAAAGCUUUGCAUAUGGAUCCGCACGC